CCCCCCGCCUCCGCCGUACCACCACUAAGAAGAUCCACCACUCUGUCAAGCUGGGAGCCCAGAAUGCGGUCGAGAAGAGUUGUGCGAGCAGGCCAAGAAGAGCCACGUACGGCGUCGUUGAUCCUCCUCCGGUGUGUGUUGCUGCCGAACUAGGGCCGAUCUCUCAGGAGAUGGAAUAAUGCAGAUGGCUCCCAUUAGUUUAUCUUACCAGCUUAUAUCAUCUGUGUUCGUCCAGUGUUAGCGUCUGUGUUGCUAGUGUGGCAAUGUGCCCGUGUCACUGUAAAACCAUUGAUCACCACGGAAAUGGAAGUAAAAGGUGUUGUUUCCUGUUGCAUGUAA
Triticum dicoccoides is the source of this 339-nucleotide long non-coding RNA. RefSeq lists it as uncharacterized. The record is from RefSeq and is a predicted model, not a curated record. The transcript has 2 exons. NCBI's taxonomy places the organism in Eukaryota, Viridiplantae, Streptophyta, Magnoliopsida, Poales, Poaceae.